RNAcentral lists this transfer RNA (66 nucleotides) under Upogebia bowerbankii. Its description in RNAcentral is "tRNA-Cys". It matches the Rfam family "tRNA". Rfam says of the family: Transfer RNA (tRNA) molecules are approximately 80 nucleotides in length. Lineage: Eukaryota; Metazoa; Arthropoda; Malacostraca; Decapoda; Upogebiidae. The record is from RNAcentral.
GGUCUCAUAGUGGAAAUUAAAGACGUUAGAUUGCAAAUCUAAAGAUGUAUAAGGAUACUGGGACUU